Long non-coding RNA from Micropterus salmoides (largemouth bass), 1058 nucleotides. RefSeq lists it as uncharacterized. The transcript is spliced from 3 exons. The record is from RefSeq and is a predicted model, not a curated record. Lineage: Eukaryota; Metazoa; Chordata; Actinopteri; Centrarchiformes; Centrarchidae.
UUCGCCUAGAGGCGUUCCCAUAGUGUCGUAACCGACGCAGUCUCUCGUUCCCCUUCUCGGGGAACCAGGGUUACAUACGUAACCCGAGACGUUCUUUGUGUUUCAACAGCCAAAGAACCGGUUCUCGGCCAGGAAAACUGGUUCCAAAGCGGCACCUACUCUUUGCUGUACUAGAACGUUUCUUUUACCACGUCAUGCUUACGUAGGGGGCUGGGGGCGGGGUUAUUUUGACCAACAACACGACGGGAAAGGUUGUGACCGCCAUUGCUAAAAACACAGUGCUAGUAAAGAUAGUACAACGAUUGAAGAAAAUGGAUUCUAAAGCGAAACAGUGGUCGGUGGAGGAGACAAACUGUUUGUUAGCGAUAUGGUCCUCGGCAGAGGUACAGCAAAAAAUAGAAGGUGCUUCGAGAACAAAAAAUGUGUUCGAGGAGAUCCAGAGGGAGAUGGCUACAGCGGGGUUUAACAGAACCAUAAAGCAGAUCAAUAACAAGUUAAAAAAAACUAACAAAGGAUUACAGAGACCAAAAGAAGGAGUUGGGGCAAAGGUGAAAUGGACGGCCAUUUAGUAGAAAUACCCAUUUUGAGGUUUUGGACUCGGUCCUCGGCGACAGACCGGCGUGCCAGGUCACCGGGGCAUUAAAUUCUGCCACUGCCAUGCUAGAAUCUAUGGUGAAUGAGACGCUGCUGCAGGGUAUUGCCAACAACGUUACUGAUUCUGCUCACCAGUACCGUCUUGCAGCUCAGCAGCUGAAAGCUCCUCAUCUGCCUCUUCCAGUCAGUCGACCAGAAAGGGCAAAACGAAACGAGACAUGAAUGGGGAGCUUCUGGAAUAUUUUGAGAGGUCAGACGAAAGGUUCCUGCAGCACUGCAAGGAAAUGAAUGAUACCUUGCUGAAGAAAAUGGAUGCAGACUCAACUGCAAUGCUUGGACUCAUGGAGCGUAUGAUCACGGUGAUGGAGAGGCAACUUCACUGAUAAGUGCUACUGAAUCAGAAAGAAACUAUUAGUUUUUGCACAGUGUACUUUUGCAAAAAAUAAACGUUUUUUGAAGAAACA